RNAcentral lists this long non-coding RNA (1002 nucleotides) under Ornithorhynchus anatinus (platypus). Its description in RNAcentral is "lncRNA (ENSOANG00000051120.1)". Lineage: Eukaryota; Metazoa; Chordata; Mammalia; Monotremata; Ornithorhynchidae. The record is from RNAcentral.
GCCCCGCCUCUUCCCUGCCGCUUCGCGUUUCGGCGAAAUUUGUCCCUCGCCGGCGUUCGGAGCGGGAGGCCGGGAGGGAGGGGGAAGCAAGAGCACUCCCAGCGGCCCCCGCAGCCAUGGCGGCCCGCCGCUUCGCGUUUUGGUGAAGUUUGUCCAUCGCCGGCGUCCGAAGAGGAGGGAGGAGCCCUCCCAGCAGCCUCCGCGGCCCCGCCGCUUCGCGUUCUGGUCAAGUUUGUCCGUCGCCGGCGUCCGGAGGCGUCGUCCGGGGUGGGAGAGGAAGACGGAGCCGUCCCGGCAGCCUCCGCGGCCCCGCCGCUUCGCGUUCUGGUGAAGUUUGUCCGUCGCCGGCGCCCGGAGGUGGCGGCCGGAGAGGAGGGAGGAACACUCCCGGCAGCCUCCGUGGCCGCGCCGCUUCGCGUUCUGGUGAAGUUUGUCCGUCGCCGGCGCCCGGAGGCGGCGCCAGGAGUGGGCGAGGAGGACGGAGCCGUCCCGGCAGCCCCCGCGGCCAUGGCGGCGGCGCUGGGCUUGCUGAGGCGGCCGUGGGCCCUGCGCCCCCCGCGUCCGGGGCCUCCGGCCCGCCGCCUCUGCGCCCCCCGACCCUCCUCCGCGGCCCCGCCCCACGGUCAGUGCCCCCCGUCGCCGCCGGGCCGCUCGCCACAACCCGCCUCGGGGCCCUCACCGCGCCGCCCCCGCUUAGCGCUCCGCUCGGGACCGGCCUCUUCGCUCAGCGCUGCCCUGGGGGCAGAGCGGGGAACCGAGCCUAGGGGAGAAGAAUGGUGGCGUCUUGGAAGCGCUCGCUGUGGGCUAAGCACUGUACUAAGCGCUGCGGGGAGAGGGCGGGUAAACGGGUUGGGCCCCGGGGGGGCUCCCGGGCUUCGCCUCCCCCCGUUUGACAGAGGAGGGAGCGGAGACACCGUGCGAAACUUGGAGGUUCAGCUCGUAGCGGGGCUGGGAGUCAGCAGGUCCUGGGUUCUGAUCCUGCACCGUGCAUUCCCUCAGUAG